UACGGAGGAUGCAAGCGUUAUCCGGAAUUAUUGGGCGUAAAGCGUCCGCAGGUGGUUGAUCAAGUCUGCUGUCAAAGACAGAAGCUUAACUUCUGGCAGGCAGUGGAAACUGGUAGACUAGAGUACGGUAGGGGUUGAGGGAAUUCCCAGUGUAGCGGUGAAAUGCGUAGAUAUUGGGAAGAACACCAGUGGCGAAGGCGCUCAACUAGGCCGUAACUGACACUGAGGGACGAAAGCUAGGGGAGCGAAAGGG
RNAcentral lists this ribosomal RNA (253 nucleotides) under uncultured cyanobacterium. RNAcentral describes it as "partial 16S ribosomal RNA". It matches the Rfam family "Bacterial small subunit ribosomal RNA", at positions 524 to 776 of the family's 1533-position model. The record is from RNAcentral. Lineage: Bacteria; Bacillati; Cyanobacteriota.